Molecule: long non-coding RNA, 395 nt
Filed under: Mytilus galloprovincialis (Mediterranean mussel)
Lineage: Eukaryota; Metazoa; Mollusca; Bivalvia; Mytilida; Mytilidae
Source: RNAcentral
GUUAGUAACUUUAGAAUGUACCCCUUUGACCUGGCGGGUGUGGGUGGGCGGAGGGUGUCUAUAGAUUUUUUUUAUUCAGUUUUUGCAGAAAAAAAUAAUUUAUUUUGUUUUUGACCCUGGGAAAAAAGUUUGUUUCACCUGCAACUGUCAAUGUACAUGUAAUUAUUUAACGUUAUGCUAAAAUUAAAAGAAAAAAAUGUUUUCAACUUUGAAAUUUAUACAUCAAUGAUUCUAAACUGAAAUUAAUAAUGGACAAGAACCAGAUGCUCAGUCCCAUGAAGCAUUACCUCUGGUGGCAGAACCAGGUGCUUCCCCUUUAUAAAAAGUUCUGUAUCUGCCACUGAUCCUUUAUUUGAAAUACAGAGAGUCUUUAAUUUGUUUCUUUGGAAUUUAGA